This 292-nucleotide ribosomal RNA is filed under the name uncultured bacterium. Its description in RNAcentral is "partial 16S ribosomal RNA". The record is from RNAcentral.
GGACUACACGGGUAUCUAAUCCUGUUUGCUCCCCACGCUUUCGUGCCUGAACGUCGGUGCUGGACCAGGAAGCCGCUUUCGCCACUGGUGUUCCUUCAGAUAUCUACGCAUUUCACCGCUACACCUGAAAUUCCGCUUCCCUCUUCCGCACCCUAGCUACGCAGUCUCGAAUGGCAUUCCCAGGUUGAGCCCGGGGCUUUCACACCCGACUUACAUAACCGUCUACGCACGCUUUACGCCCAGUAAUUCCGAUUAACGCUUGCACCCUCUGUAUUACCGCGGCGGCUGGCAC